UACGUAGGGGGCUAGCGUUGUCCGGAAUCAUUGGGCGUAAAGAGCGUGUAGGCGGCCCGGUAAGUCCGCUGUAAAAGUCAAAGGCUCAACCUUUGAAUGUCAGUGGAUACUGCCGGGCUAGAGUCCGGAAGAGGCGAGUGGAACUCCUGGUGUAGCGGUGGAAUGCGCAGAUAUCGAGAGGAAUACCAAAGGCGAAGGCAGGUCACUGGGCAGUUACUGACACUGAGGCACGAAGGCUAGGGGAGCAAACGGG
RNAcentral lists this ribosomal RNA (253 nucleotides) under uncultured bacterium. RNAcentral describes it as "partial 16S ribosomal RNA". It matches the Rfam family "Bacterial small subunit ribosomal RNA", at positions 524 to 776 of the family's 1533-position model. The record is from RNAcentral.